This 1195-nucleotide ribosomal RNA is filed under the name uncultured Campylobacterota bacterium. RNAcentral's name for it is "bacterial SSU rRNA". It matches the Rfam family "Bacterial small subunit ribosomal RNA", at positions 231 to 1438 of the family's 1533-position model. The record is from RNAcentral. Lineage: Bacteria; Pseudomonadati; Campylobacterota.
CUAUGUCCUAUCAGGUAGUUGGUGAGGUAACGGCUCACCAAGCCAAUGACGGGUAUCUGGUUUGAGAGGAUGAUCAGACACACUGGAACUGAGACACGGUCCAGACUCCUACGGGAGGCAGCAGUGAGGAAUAUUGCACAAUGGAGGAAACUCUGAUGCAGCAACGCCGCGUGGAGGAUGACGCAUUUCGGUGUGUAAACUCCUUUUAAGAGGGAAGAUUAUGACGGUACCUCUUGAAUAAGCACCGGCUAACUCCGUGCCAGCAGCCGCGGUAAUACGGAGGGUGCAAGCGUUACUCGGAAUCACUGGGCGUAAAGGGUGCGUAGGCUGACUUUUAAGUCAGGCGUGAAAUCCAAUGGCUUAACCAUUGAACUGCGCUUGAAACUGGGAGUCUAGAGUUCAGAAGGGGCAGAUGGAAUUAGUGGUGUAGGGGUAAAAUCCGUAGAUAUCACUAGGAAUAUCAAAAGCGAAGGCGAUCUGCUGGGAUGAUACUGACGCUGAGGCACGAAAGCGUGGGGAGCAAACAGGAUUAGAUACCCCUGGUAGUCCACGCCCUAAACGAUGAAUGCUAGUCGUCGGGGAGCUCGUCUCUUCGGUGAUGCACUUAACAGAUUAAGCAUUCCCGCCUGGGGAGUACGGUCGCAAGAUUAAAACUCAAAGGAAUAGACGGGGACCCGCACAAGUGGUGGAGCAUGUGGUUUAAUUCGAAGAUACACGAAGAACCUUACCUGGCCUUGACAUGGUAGGAACCCUGUAGAGAUACGGGGGUGCUGGCUUGCUAGAGCCUACACACAGGUGCUGCACGGCUGUCGUCAGCUCGUGUCGUGAGAUGUUGGGUUAAGUCCCGCAACGAGCGCAACCCUCGUCCUUAGUUGCUAACGGUUCGGCCGAGCACUCUAAGGAGACUGCCUUCGCAAGGAGGAGGAAGGUGAGGACGACGUCAAGUCAUCAUGGCCCUUACGGCCAGGGCUACACACGUGCUACAAUGGGGCGUACAGAGAGCUGCGAUACCGCGAGGUGGAGCCAAUCUCUUAAAGCGUCUCUCAGUUCGGAUUGUUCUCUGCAACUCGAGAACAUGAAGCUGGAAUCACUAGUAAUCGCAGAUCAGCUAUGCUGCGGUGAAUACGUUCCCGGGUCUUGUACUCACCGCCCGUCACACCAUGGGAGUUGAUUUCACCCGAAAUCGGGAUGCCAA